UACGUAGGUGGCGAGCGUUGUCCGGAUUUACUGGGCGUAAAGAGCGCGCAGGCGGUCGUUCAAGUCGCGUGUGAAGCCCCGGCUCAACUGGGAGGGUCACGCGAUACUGAUCGACUCGAAGGCAGGAGAGGGAAGUGGAAUUCCCGGUGUAGUGGUGAAAUGCGUAGAUAUCGGGAGGAACACCAGUGGCGAAGGCGACUUCCUGGCCUGUUCUUGACGCUGAGGCGCGAAAGCUAGGGGAGCAAACGGG
Molecule: ribosomal RNA, 250 nt
Filed under: uncultured bacterium
Lineage: Bacteria
Description: partial 16S ribosomal RNA
Rfam family: Bacterial small subunit ribosomal RNA
Source: RNAcentral